RNAcentral lists this ribosomal RNA (397 nucleotides) under uncultured bacterium. RNAcentral describes it as "partial 16S ribosomal RNA". It matches the Rfam family "Bacterial small subunit ribosomal RNA", at positions 523 to 918 of the family's 1533-position model. The record is from RNAcentral.
AUACGUAGGGGGCGAGCGUUGUCCGGAAUGAUUGGGCGUAAAGGGCGCGUAGGCGGCGCGGUAAGUCUGGAGUGAAAGUCCUGCUUUCAAGGUGGGCAUUGCUUUGGAUACUGCCGCGCUUGAGUGCAGGAGAGGUUAUCGGAAUUCCCGGUGUAGCGGUGAAAUGCGUAGAGAUCGGGAGGAACACCAGUGGCGAAGGCGGGUAACUGGACUGCAACUGACGCUGAGGCGCGAAAGUGUGGGGAGCAAACAGGAUUAGAUACCCUGGUAGUCCACACUGUAAACGAUGAAUGCUAGGUGUAAGAGGUAUCGACCCCUUUUGUGCCGGAGUCAACACAAUAAGCAUUCCGCCUGGGGAGUACGGCCGCAAGGUUGAAACUCAAAUGAAUUGACGGGG